UAAACUGUCAGGCGAUCUGUACGAGAAAAUCACCAAGGCACUGAAUGCCUGAUAAGAAACGGCGGGCAAAAUGCCCGCCGUUUCU
This 85-nucleotide small RNA is filed under the name Pantoea ananatis. RNAcentral describes it as "Pseudomonas sRNA P17". The record is from RNAcentral. Lineage: Bacteria; Pseudomonadati; Pseudomonadota; Gammaproteobacteria; Enterobacterales; Erwiniaceae.